AGAUCCCACGGAAGGAAUGAUGUUCCAGUUGAGACUCAAGAAAAGGAUUCUGAGCCUUAGGGCUUUGAAGCAGCCAGUUGGUCACUGACCUUCCUUGAGGCAAA
This 104-nucleotide small nucleolar RNA is filed under the name Ursus thibetanus thibetanus. Its description in RNAcentral is "Small nucleolar RNA SNORD124 (ENSUTTG00000020376.1)". It matches the Rfam family "Small nucleolar RNA SNORD124". Lineage: Eukaryota; Metazoa; Chordata; Mammalia; Carnivora; Ursidae. The record is from RNAcentral.